This 605-nucleotide ribosomal RNA is filed under the name uncultured bacterium. RNAcentral describes it as "bacterial SSU rRNA". It matches the Rfam family "Bacterial small subunit ribosomal RNA", at positions 264 to 859 of the family's 1533-position model. The record is from RNAcentral.
CCUACCAAGGCGACGACGGGUAGCUGGUCUGAGAGGAUGAUCAGCCACACUGGCACUGGAACACGGGCCAGACUCCUACGGGAGGCAGCAGUGAGGAAUUUUGCGCAAUGGCCGCAAGGCUGACGCAGCAACGCCGCGUGGGUGAAGAAGGCCUUCGGGUCGUAAAGCCCUGUCAGGUGGGAAGAACACCAUGGGGAUGAAUAAGCUUCAUGGCUGACGGUACCACCAGAGGAAGCACCGGCUAACUCCGUGCCAGCAGCCGCGGUAAUACGGAGGGUGCGAGCGUUAUUCGGAAUUACUGGGCGUAAAGCGCGUGCAGGCGGUUUGGCAAGUCUGAUGUGAAAGCCCCGGGCUUAACCUGGGAAGUGCAUUGGAAACUGCCGGACUUGAGUACUGGAGAGGAAGGGGGAAUUCCCGGUGUAGAGGUGAAAUUCGUAGAGAUCGGGAGGAAUACCAGUGGCGAAGGCGCCCUUCUGGACGGUUACUGACGCUGAGACGCGAAAGCGUGGGGAGCAAACAGGAUUAGAUACCCUGGUAGUCCACGCUGUAAACGAUGAGCACUAGGUGUAGCGGGUACUCAUUCCUGCUGUGCCGCAGCUAACGCG